RNAcentral lists this ribosomal RNA (862 nucleotides) under Brachyotum benthamianum. Its description in RNAcentral is "eukaryotic LSU rRNA". The stretch from base 289 to 441 matches the Rfam family "5.8S ribosomal RNA". The record is from RNAcentral. Lineage: Eukaryota; Viridiplantae; Streptophyta; Magnoliopsida; Myrtales; Melastomataceae.
AAAAGGUUUCCGUAGGUGAACCUGCGGAAGGAUCAUUGUCAAAUCGAACGGAAGAACGACCCGCGAACAGUCUUUGCGAACGAACCGAGCUCGCGAGCACCUAACGCUCGCGCGUCCGCGUCGCGUCGCGUCGGCGCGGGCCUCCUGAAAGGGCGCGCCGCACCGACAAACUAACAAAGUCAGCACGGAUCGUGCCAAGGAUCUGAAUAGGCGAGAAUCGCCUCCCACGCCCCCGGUCCCCCUCGACGGGGGGCGGGGGAAUGCGCGAUCUCUGCUCUUAGUCUUAAUGACUCUCGGCACGGAUAUCUCGGCUCUUGCAUCGAUGAAGAACGAGCGAAAUGCGAUACUUGGUGUGAAUUGCAGAAUCCCCGAACCAUCAAUUCCUUUGAACGCAAGUUGCGCCCGAGCCAUUCGGCCGAGGGCACGCCUGCCUGGGUGUCGUGAUCCCCUUGCCCCCGGGCACCCGCGCGAGCAUCGUCGCGGAUAUGUCCGGGCGCAGAAUAUGGUCUCCCGCGUCGGCGUGCGCGGCACGUCGUGGGGCGGUUGGCGAUCGAGCAUUGCGACGUCGGGCUCCACGGCGUUGGGUCGAACGCGAUUGGCUGCGCCGUGGUCCCGUCUACGCGGGCUCCGGACUACGAUGAUUCCCGAGUGCAUCGGUCAGGCGGGGCUACCCGCUGAGUUUAAGCAAUAAAGCGGAGGAAAAGAAACUAACGAGGAUUCCCUAACGGCGAGCGAACCGGGACGUGCCCAGCGUGAAAUUCGCCUUUCGGCGGCCGAAUUGUAGUCUGGAGAGCCUCAGUGACGGACCGGGCCCAAGUUCUGGAAGUCCCGGAGAGGGUGAGAGCCCCGUCGUGCCCGGACC